UGGGGAAUAUUGGACAAUGGGCGAAAGCCUGAUCCAGCCAUGCCGCGUGUGUGAAGAAGGUCUUCGGAUUGUAAAGCACUUUAAGUUGGGAGGAAGGGCAGUAAGCGAAUACCUUGCUGUCUUGACGUUACCGACAGAAUAAGCACCGGCUAACUCUGUGUCAGCAGCCGCGGUAAUACAGAGGGUGCAAGCGUUAAUCGGAAUUACUGGGCGUAAAGCGCGCGUAGGUGGUUCGUUAAGUUGAAUGUGAAAGCCCCGGGCUCAACCUGGGAACUGCAUCCAAAACUGGCGAGCUAGAGUAGGGCAGAGGGUGGUGGAAUUUCCUGUGUAGCGGUGAAAUGCGUAGAUAUAGGAAGGAACACCAGUGGCGAAGGCGACCACCUGGGCUCAUACUGACACUGAGGUGCGAAAGCGUGGGGAGCAAACAGG
This 429-nucleotide ribosomal RNA is filed under the name Pseudomonadota bacterium. RNAcentral's name for it is "Proteobacteria bacterium partial 16S ribosomal RNA". It matches the Rfam family "Bacterial small subunit ribosomal RNA", at positions 355 to 776 of the family's 1533-position model. The record is from RNAcentral. Lineage: Bacteria; Pseudomonadati; Pseudomonadota.